UACGGAGGGAGCUAGCGUUGUUCGGAAUUACUGGGCGUAAAGCGUGCGCAGGCGGCUUCCCAAGUCAGUGGUGAAAGCCCGGAGCUCAACUCCGGAAAUGCCAUUGAAACUGUGAAGCUUGAGAACGAGAGAGGUGAGUGGAAUUCCCAGUGUAGAGGUGAAAUUCGUAGAUAUUGGGAAGAACACCAGUGGCGAAGGCGGCUCACUGGCUCGUAACUGACGCUCAUGCACGAUAGCGUGGGGAUCAAACAGG
This 253-nucleotide ribosomal RNA is filed under the name uncultured prokaryote. RNAcentral's name for it is "partial 16S ribosomal RNA". It matches the Rfam family "Bacterial small subunit ribosomal RNA", at positions 524 to 776 of the family's 1533-position model. The record is from RNAcentral.